UACGGAGGGAGCAAGCGUUACUCGGAAUUACUGGGCGUAAAGGGCGCGUAGGCGAUUUUGUAAGUCUUGUGUGAAAGCCCAAAGCCUAACUUUGGAAGUGCACAAGAUACUGCGAGAAUUGAGUUCCGGAGAGGAAGAUGGAAUUCCCGGUGUAGAGGUGAAAUUCGUAGAUAUCGGGAGGAACACCGGUGGCGAAGGCGGCGACCUGGGUCGAUACUGACGCUGAGGCGCGAAAGCGUGGGGAGCAAACAGG
Molecule: ribosomal RNA, 253 nt
Filed under: uncultured bacterium
Lineage: Bacteria
Description: partial 16S ribosomal RNA
Rfam family: Bacterial small subunit ribosomal RNA
Source: RNAcentral